UACGUAGGGUGCGAGCGUUAAUCGGAAUUACUGGGCGUAAAGCGUGCGCAGGCGGUUAUGCAAGACAGAUGUGAAAUCCCCGGGCUCAACCUGGGAACUGCAUUUGUGACUGCAUGGCUAGAGUGCGGCAGAGGGGGAUGGAAUUCCGCGUGUAGCAGUGAAAUGCGUAGAGAUGUGGAGGAAUACCGAUGGCGAAGGCAGCCCCCUGGGAUAACACUGACGCUCAUGCACGAAAGCGUGGGGAGCAAACAGG
RNAcentral lists this ribosomal RNA (253 nucleotides) under uncultured bacterium. RNAcentral describes it as "partial 16S ribosomal RNA". It matches the Rfam family "Bacterial small subunit ribosomal RNA", at positions 524 to 776 of the family's 1533-position model. The record is from RNAcentral.